Molecule: long non-coding RNA, 248 nt
Filed under: Brassica napus (rape)
Lineage: Eukaryota; Viridiplantae; Streptophyta; Magnoliopsida; Brassicales; Brassicaceae
Description: long non-coding RNA (BNAP_LNC011464)
Source: RNAcentral
AGAAUUUAAGAAAGCUAAGUUAAUUCUAUUUAUUUAUAUCUAUGCAUUUUAAAUUUUUAUUCUCAUAAAAUUCUAAUAUACUAAAUCGUUACGAACAUAUUUCCUACUAUCAUCAAUUAUUUUCAUAUAAUAUUUAGGGUUUUAUUUCAGAUAUUGUAGCUUCUGCAGGUUAAUCAAUAUAAAAACUAUAUGAAAACCUAGAGUACUGCAAGUAGAACCAUCUGUCUUGGUAUUGUAUGUUGCAAAUU